UUGGAGGGCAAGUCUGGUGCCAGCAGCCGCGGUAAUUCCAGCUCCAAUAGCGUAUAUUAAAGUUGUUGUGGUUAAAAAGCUCGUAGUAGAAGCUCGGGCUCCGGCCGACCGGUCCGCCUCACCGCGUGCACUGGUUCGGCCGGGCCUUCACCUUCUGCGGAACCGCAUCCCCUUCACUGGGGGUGCCGGGGAAACAGGACGUUUACUUUGAAAAAAUUAGAGUGCUCCAGGCAGGCCUAUGCUCGAAUACAUUAGCAUGGAAUAAUGAAAUAGGACGUGCGGUCUUAUUUCGUUGGUUUCUAAGACCGCCGUAAUGAUUAAUAGGGACAGUCGGGGGCAUCAGUAUUCAAUCGUCAGAGGUGAAGUUCUUGGAUCGAUUGAAGACUAACUACUGCGAAAGCAUUUGCCAAGGAUGUUUUCAUUUAUCAGGAACGAAAGUUAGGGGAUCGAAGACGAUCAGAUACCGUCGUAGUCUUAACCAUAAACUAUGCCGACUAGGGAUCGGACGGUGUUAUUUCUUGACCCGUUCGGCGCCUUACGGGAAAC
This 546-nucleotide ribosomal RNA is filed under the name uncultured Ascomycota. RNAcentral describes it as "SSU rRNA". It matches the Rfam family "Eukaryotic small subunit ribosomal RNA", at positions 548 to 1098 of the family's 1831-position model. The record is from RNAcentral. Lineage: Eukaryota; Fungi; Ascomycota.